This 411-nucleotide ribosomal RNA is filed under the name Verrucomicrobiota bacterium. Its description in RNAcentral is "Verrucomicrobia bacterium partial 16S ribosomal RNA". It matches the Rfam family "Bacterial small subunit ribosomal RNA", at positions 355 to 776 of the family's 1533-position model. Lineage: Bacteria; Pseudomonadati; Verrucomicrobiota. The record is from RNAcentral.
UGGGGAAUAUUGCACAAUGGGCGGAAGCCUGAUGCAGCGACGCCGCGUGGGGGAUGACGGCCUUCGGGUUGUAAACUCCUUUCGACAGGGACGAAGCUUUUUGUGACGGUACCUGUAUAAGAAGCACCGGCUAACUACGUGCCAGCAGCCGCGGUAAUACGUAGGGUGCGAGCGUUGUCCGGAAUUACUGGGCGUAAAGGGCUCGUAGGUGGUUUGUCGCGUCGUCUGUGAAAUUCCGGGGCUUAACUCCGGGCGUGCAGGCGAUACGGGCAUAACUUGAGUACUGUAGGGGUAACUGGAAUUCCUGGUGUAGCGGUGAAAUGCGCAGAUAUCAGGAGGAACACCGAUGGCGAAGGCAGGUUACUGGGCAGUUACUGACGCUGAGGAGCGAAAGCAUGGGUAGCGAACAGG